UACGGAGGGUGCAAGCGUUAUCCGGAUUCACUGGGUUUAAAGGGUGCGUAGGCGGUUUGUUAAGUCUGUUGUGAAAUCCCCGAGCUCAACUUGGGAAUUGCAAUGGAUACUGGCAGGCUGGAGUAUGGUAGAGGAAGGUGGAAUUCCCGGUGUAGCAGUGAAAUGCGUAGAGAUCGGGAGGAACACCAGUGGCGAAGGCGGCCUUCUGGACCAAUACUGACGCUCAUGCACGAAAGCGUGGGGAGCAAACAGG
RNAcentral lists this ribosomal RNA (253 nucleotides) under uncultured bacterium. RNAcentral describes it as "partial 16S ribosomal RNA". It matches the Rfam family "Bacterial small subunit ribosomal RNA", at positions 524 to 776 of the family's 1533-position model. The record is from RNAcentral.